Molecule: long non-coding RNA, 1549 nt
Filed under: Homo sapiens (human)
Lineage: Eukaryota; Metazoa; Chordata; Mammalia; Primates; Hominidae
Description: long independently transcribed non-coding RNA 469 (LINC00469)
Source: RNAcentral
AAAAAGCUCUGGAAAUAGAUCAUCAGGAUGGUUGCACAAUGUUUUGAAUGUAAAUGCCACUGAAUUGUACACCUUAAAAGGGCUCAAAUGACGUCAUCAGCACCCACCCUCCCAGAUGUGACAAUCAGAAAUGUGUCCAGACAUAUCCAGAUGUCCCUUAUGGGGAAGGGAGAAUCGCCCUGGCUUUGCAGACUCCAGCUGGAACCCCUGCUGCAAGCGAUGGAGGAGCAACAGCUCGGCAAUCUGGAGGCAAGGUGGGAGGUGGAGAAGCACGGAAACGAAGUCUCUGGCUCAACCAGCAAAAGUGAACCACUCCCCAGCAGUGGAAACCGGGGCUUCCUAGAAGAAACGAUGCACUCCCCACCUCCCUCUGUUUGUGCUGCAGUGAAAACUGACACGAGAGAUUCAUUGGAACAUGUGCCCUCGUUCCACUCUCAUCAGCCCACCGCAGGGACAGGAGCUGUUCAUCUUUUUGGCUGUGCUCGCAGCCUCCAGAACACUUAUGAGGGGCACCUUGUGGGCGCCGUGGUCGGAUGAGGCCCCUGGGGCUCUUCCAGAGGCUGGCACUCUCUGCAGUUGUCGCUCACAUACCUGCUCAGGCCAGGCCAGGCCAGAGUGGACAAUGUCUUCCCAGCAGGCCAGACCAGUCUCCCAGGAGGCUGAGGCUGCUGUAUCACUCACCAAACCCUCUCAUCUGCCGGCCUGACCCUGUGCUAUGCUGGAAAUAGCACUCGAGCCAGACGCCCUCCCUGACUUGGACAAGGGCAGUGCCCUGGAAGGAGAGGGCACAGAAGCAGCUGUUUACAGAACCUCCGAGGGCUGCAAUGGGGCAAUGGGGUGUGCAGGAGAGUGACCAGGAGCCCGGGGCAGCUGGUGACCCACCCCUCCAGGCAUUCGUGAGGUGUCAGAAGAGGGGGCCCCUUGAACGGGGCCUGCAGAGAUGGCUAAGAGUCCAUCAGGCAGAUGAAAUGAUUUGCUUUCUUCACACUUACCAAGCUUAGAAAUGACCUCCUUCAUGCAUGUGAAUGACUUUAUUCAUGUAUAUGACUCACCUUCCUCAUGCAUGUGAUGAUCUUAUUGUAUGUGACUCACUUUCAUGCACGUGAUGACCUUAUCCAUGUAUGUGACUCACCUUCAUGCAUGUGAUGACCUUAUUCAUGUAGGUGAUUCACCUUCUUCAUGCAUGUGAUGACCCUAUCCAUGUAUGUGAUUCACCUUCUUCAUGCAUGUGAUGACCUUAUUCACGUAUGUGAUUUGCCUUCUUCAUGCAUGUGAUUACCUUAUACAUGUAUAUGACUCACCUUCAUGUAUGUGAUGACCUUAUUCACAUGUGACUCGCCUUCUUCAUGCAUGUGAUGACCUUAUUCACAUGUGACUCGCCUUCAUGCAUGUGACGACCUUAUCCAUGUAUGUGACUCACCUUCUUCAUGCAUGUGAUGACCUUAUCCAUGUAUGCGACUCACCUUCUUCAUGCAUGUGAUGACUUUAUCUAUGAAUGUGACUCAUUGUUUGUCUUCCCAUCCCCCUAAAACAUAAACUCAAUGAGAGC